This is a long non-coding RNA of Rattus norvegicus (Norway rat), 801 nucleotides long. RefSeq lists it as uncharacterized. The record is from RefSeq and is a predicted model, not a curated record. NCBI's taxonomy places the organism in Eukaryota, Metazoa, Chordata, Mammalia, Rodentia, Muridae.
GGCUUUGCCCUUGUGAAGUGUUUGAUUCCUGGCUUGGACUGAGGCUGUGGCAAGGUAGAAGUGCAAGACUAAGGUGGCUGGAAUGCACAGUUCUGGGUCCUGGAGGCGGGGAUUCGUGCGGAAGAAGAGGCAGAAAGACUGUAAGACCCAGAGGAGAUGGAUUACUUCUUGGAAACAGUGCCUUCCAGACACAACGGGAGUGAUGCACAGGCGAAGUCAUUGUGGCAGAGACUGCGGCGACACACACAGAUCAUGCCCAAUCAAACCGAAUGAGGGGGGAAAUGGACAUGGGAUUCCGCCCUGGUGAAGAAGCUGUUUGUCAGUGAUACUUGCUGGUAAAGGGAACAUAUGUUUUCUCUAGUGGUGUCUCACUGGGUAUCUCAGCCACAUUUCAGGAUAUGUCCCAUGGCUGGCCAGGAGAAGUGUGCCAACCUAAGAGGAACUCAGUGGUACUUUUUUGAACCCUUUUUAUCAUUCUGCUUUCUUCUGGCAUUUUUGUUUGUUUAUUUUUUGUUUUUGUUUUGCCUCAUUGGUCUUUUGAUUGUUUCAAUUUUCAUCUUUGUGGGUUUUAUUUGGGGGUGGUUGUUUCUUGUUUUGUUUUUUGAAAGAGAAAGAGAAAGAACAUAGAGCUGAGCAGCUAGGGAAGUAGGGGGGAUCUGGGAGGAACUGUGAGAGGAAAAACAUGAUCAAAAAUACACUGUAUACAUUUUCUUUCUGUUAGAAAAAGGAAAACUGGGCUGGAGAGAUGGCUCAGCCGUUAAAGGCUAGGCUCACAACCAAAAAUAUAAGAAAAAGGAAAAC